GGUUAAGCGACUAAGCGUACACGGUGGAUGCCCUGGCAGUCAGAGGCGAUGAAGGACGUGCUAAUCUGCGAAAAGCGUCGGUAAGGUGAUAUGAACCGUUAUAACCGGCGAUGUCCGAAUGGGGAAACCCAGUGUGUUUCGACACACUAUCAUUAACUGAAUCCAUAGGUUAAUGAGGCGAACCGGGGGAACUGAAACAUCUAAGUACCCCGAGGAAAAGAAAUCAACCGAGAUUCCCCCAGUAGCGGCGAGCGAACGGGGAGGAGCCCAGAGCCUGAAUCAGUGUGUGUGUUAGUGGAAGCGUCUGGAAAGGCGCGCGAUACAGGGUGACAGCCCCGUACACAAAAAUGCACAUGCUGUGAGCUCGAUGAGUAGGGCGGGACACGUGGUAUCCUGUCUGAAUAUGGGGGGACCAUCCUCCAAGGCUAAAUACUCCUGACUGACCGAUAGUGAACCAGUACCGUGAGGGAAAGGCGAAAAGAACCCCGGCGAGGGGAGUGAAAAAGAACCUGAAACCGUGUACGUACAAGCAGUGGGAGCCCUGAUUUAUCAGGGUGACUGCGUACCUUUUGUAUAAUGGGUCAGCGACUUAUAUUCUGUAGCAAGGUUAACCGAAUAGGGGAGCCGGAGGGAAACCGAGUCUUAACUGGGCGUUAAGUUGCAGGGUAUAGACCCGAAACCCGGUGAUCUAGCCAUGGGCAGGUUGAAGGUUGGGUAACACUAACUGGAGGACCGAACCGACUAAUGUUGAAAAAUUAGCGGAUGACUUGUGGCUGGGGGUGAAAGGCCAAUCAAACCGGGAGAUAGCUGGUUCUCCCCGAAAGCUAUUUAGGUAGCGCCUCGUGAAUUCAUCUCCGGGGGUAGAGCACUGUUUCGGCAAGGGGGUCAUCCCGACUUACCAACCCGAUGCAAACUGCGAAUACCGGAGAAUGUUAUCACGGGAGACACACGGCGGGUGCUAACGUCCGUCGUGAAGAGGGAAACAACCCAGACCGCCAGCUAAGGUCCCAAAGUCAUGGUUAAGUGGGAAACGAUGUGGGAAGGCCCAGACAGCCAGGAUGUUGGCUUAGAAGCAGCCAUCAUUUAAAGAAAGCGUAAUAGCUCACUGGUCGAGUCGGCCUGCGCGGAAGAUGUAACGGGGCUAAACCAUGCACCGAAGCUGCGGCAGCGACACUGUGUGUUGUUGGGUAGGGGAGCGUUCUGUAAGCCUGUGAAGGUGUGCUGUGAGGCAUGCUGGAGGUAUCAGAAGUGCGAAUGCUGACAUAAGUAACGAUAAAGCGGGUGAAAAGCCCGCUCGCCGGAAGACCAAGGGUUCCUGUCCAACGUUAAUCGGGGCAGGGUGAGUCGACCCCUAAGGCGAGGCCGAAAGGCGUAGUCGAUGGGAAACAGGUUAAUAUUCCUGUACUUGGUGUUACUGCGAAGGGGGGACGGAGAAGGCUAUGUUGGCCGGGCGACGGUUGUCCCGGUUUAAGCGUGUAGGCUGGUUUUCCAGGCAAAUCCGGAGAAUCAAGGCUGAGGCGUGAUGACGAGGCACUACGGUGCUGAAGCAACAAAUGCCCUGCUUCCAGGAAAAGCCUCUAAGCAUCAGGUAACAUCAAAUCGUACCCCAAACCGACACAGGUGGUCAGGUAGAGAAUACCAAGGCGCUUGAGAGAACUCGGGUGAAGGAACUAGGCAAAAUGGUGCCGUAACUUCGGGAGAAGGCAC
This 1707-nucleotide ribosomal RNA is filed under the name Escherichia albertii. RNAcentral describes it as "partial 23S ribosomal RNA". It matches the Rfam family "Bacterial large subunit ribosomal RNA", at positions 1 to 1749 of the family's 2925-position model. Lineage: Bacteria; Pseudomonadati; Pseudomonadota; Gammaproteobacteria; Enterobacterales; Enterobacteriaceae. The record is from RNAcentral.